This 1230-nucleotide long non-coding RNA is filed under the name Chrysemys picta bellii (western painted turtle). RNAcentral describes it as "lncRNA (ENSCPBG00000016701.1)". The record is from RNAcentral. Lineage: Eukaryota; Metazoa; Chordata; Testudines; Emydidae.
CCCAGAAGUAGCUGCAUUUCCUUGCUGGGUGAUCCAUAUUCACACAGCAAUAUGCUUUCACUGUUUCCAGCCAGGCUGAUGCUACUGCUUCUCACAUCAGCUUUCAGUCCCAGUCGCCUGCUCUGGAUUCAUCCCCCUCCCACCUACUUUCACUGUAACAAGCUGGUGCAUGCCCCUCCAACCGCCUGAACAAAACCAUGACAUCAGCACUUACUUAAUUCCUCCCAGAUGAGGAAUCGAGUCCCCUUCUGGUUCCAGUCGUCCGUCUCAGACUGGAAGAGUAGCCCAGGCCAAGCCUCCUGAGCCGGCAGGCAGGGGGAAUACCCACAGCCCACACAGACACAGUAGCCGCUGGCCUUGUCCCCGGAGAGCUGCUGUCUGUCUAACCUCGUCGUCUCCUACCACAACUGGGACAAGAGCACAAGUGCAAAAGUGCUCCCAUCGGGCUUGGUUAUACGGAAUUCCAGCCUUAUCCAAGUCUUCUCAGGGGAAAUCCACCAAGAGGGCAUUUGUCCCCACCCAUAACCACUGUGCCUUUUACCCAGUGCAAUUGCCUCACGUCUCUGCCAGUGAUGCUCAUGACAAUUGGUACUUUGCCCUAUUGUCUUUCCAGGGGUGCUGGAACAAUUUUUACAGUGGAUGUGUUGAAAUCAGAAACCAGGUAUUUUGUUAUUACUCCUUCAAGCAAGGGGGUGCUAUCCCUACUUCCAGCACCCCUGUGUCUUGCAUCUUUCAUCUGAGGAUCUCAAAGUGAGACACACACACAACUUUAACUGGUGCCUCGUAUCCAAUCUUGUAGUUUCAGCCUCUGUUUGUGGGAAGGAAUUUGGAAGAUAGAGGAAAUCAAGCUCCUUUACACUGGGGUCAGUCAGGAGCGGCUUUAUGACAUUUCACCAGCAUAAAAUCAACCUGCUCUAAGUGGAAGCAACAUCGGCAUCAGAUGCAUGCAUGUUGCUCACCUGUCUAUUUAGAAAACAUCACUGGACAUUGGCAAUACCAGGAGAGAGGAGCUGGAGUGCCUUUGAGAAGCGACGUCUGGAAAGUAACUGAAAUACUUAUCUGAUAGGUUGUCCCUCAGUAAAUACAAUCCAUCCUAAAUUCUCAAUUACUGACGGACAAUCUACACUCAUUGCUAUAUUUGCUUUCCACAAGCUACUCUUGGUAUAACCUUUUAUGAGUGAUGUAUCUGGAUGUUAAUAUCUAAACUGUUUUGUUAAAUUUAUUAACCUU